RNAcentral lists this ribosomal RNA (506 nucleotides) under uncultured bacterium. Its description in RNAcentral is "partial 16S ribosomal RNA". It matches the Rfam family "Bacterial small subunit ribosomal RNA", at positions 28 to 523 of the family's 1533-position model. The record is from RNAcentral.
GAUGAACGCUAGCUACAGGCUUAACACAUGCAAGUCGAGGGGUAACGAGAGGGAAGCUUGCUUUCCUUGUCGACGACCGGCGCACGGGUGAGUAACGCGUAUCCAACCUGCCCCCAACUAGGGAAUAACCUUGCGAAAGUAAGACUAAUACCCUAUAAUUUCCUCAGAUGUCAUCUGACGAGGAAUAAAGAUUUAUCGGUUGUGGAUGGGGAUGCGUCUGAUUAGCUUGUUGGCGGGGUAACGGCCAACCAAGGCGACGAUCAGUAGGGGUUCUGAGAGGGAGGUACCCCACAUUGGAACUGAGACACGGUCCAAACUCCUACGGGAGGCGGCAGUGAAGAAUAUUGGUCAAUGGGCGGAAGCCUGAACCAGCCAAGUAGUGUGCAGGAUGACGGCCCUAUGGGUUGUAAACUGCUUUUAUACAGGAAUAAAGUUAGCCACGUGUGGUUAUUUGUAGGUACUGUAUGAAUAAGGACCGGCUAAUUCCGUGCCAGCCGCCGCCGUAA